UUUUUGUUAUUUCGUUGUGCACCGUUGGCAUCUUUUAACAAAGAGCUCGGAGCUUGUGAAAAGCUUUGUACCAGCAGUCGGGUUGCUUACAUCGCGUAAUGACGAGCCCAAGCGGGGGGGAUCGUAUUUUGUUGUCUUUAGCCUUGCUCUGACAAGGAGAGCACAAUGCGCGCCUGUUAACGAAAUGCGCAGACAGCAAUAUCAAUCAACCUUGACAAUCAUGUCUUAGAUGUGUGUGCGUGUGUAUGCGUGUACGUGUUAUUCAGAUAAUGUGACAGUCAUGUUUCAUCGUGCAAAGGGUUUACUUACGAAGUUGUUGAAAAAUGCCGUGAGCAUCCGACCGAAGAUGCAACGAGGUAAACAAUAAAGAGAGAUGUAUUAGUGUGUGAUACGA
This 394-nucleotide long non-coding RNA is filed under the name Dermacentor andersoni. Its description in RNAcentral is "uncharacterized LOC126547739". Lineage: Eukaryota; Metazoa; Arthropoda; Arachnida; Ixodida; Ixodidae. The record is from RNAcentral.